GACGAACGCUGGCGGCGUGCUUAACACAUGCAAGUCGAACGGAAAGGCCCUGCUUUUGUGGGGUGCUCGAGUGGCGAACGGGUGAGUAACACGUGAGUAACCUGCCCUUGACUUUGGGAUAACUUCAGGAAACUGGGGCUAAUACCGGAUAGGAGCUCCUGCUGCAUGGUGGGGGUUGGAAAGUUUCGGCGGUUGGGGAUGGACUCGCGGCUUAUCAGCUUGUUGGUGGGGUAGUGGCUUACCAAGGCUUUGACGGGUAGCCGGCCUGAGAGGGUGACCGGGCACAAUGGGACUGAGAGACGGCCCAGAGUCCUACGGGGGGCAGGAGUGGGGAAUAUUGCACAAUGGGCGGAAGCCUGAUGCAGCAACGCCGCGUGCGGGAUGACGGCCUUCGGGUUGUAAACCGCUUUCGCCUGUGACGAAGCGUGAGUGACGGUAAUGGGUAAAGAAGCACCGGCUAACUACGUG
RNAcentral lists this ribosomal RNA (468 nucleotides) under uncultured bacterium. Its description in RNAcentral is "partial 16S ribosomal RNA". It matches the Rfam family "Bacterial small subunit ribosomal RNA", at positions 28 to 507 of the family's 1533-position model. The record is from RNAcentral.